GGGGUCGACUGGAUUUGACAGCAAGACCUAUAAAUUGUAAGCACGUCGUGUAAUGGUAUCGAUACACGUUAAAGACCAUACCAAAAUUUAAACGGCGAAAAUAACUACGCUUUAGCUGCUUAAUCUGAAUUAUAGUAAGAUUAGCCUAGGUGUACAAGGUACACAAGCUUUAUGUCUCAAGAAAGCCCUGAUUCAUGGCGUUCGUAUAAGAGGCAUCGUGAAAAUGGAUCUAGAAAUUCUUAUUGCUUAGUAAGAUUUUUGAAUUUUUUAAGCUAAGGAGUUAAUAUAUUGUUUUUAGUUAGUUUGCUCUCGAAAAUAAAAUAAAAACUAAACGUGUAGAAAGCCUUUUUUUAGCUUGUUUGGACGAGGGUUCGAUUCCCUCCGACUCCACUU
This 393-nucleotide transfer-messenger RNA is filed under the name Flavobacteriaceae. RNAcentral describes it as "SP29 sp002721175 Standard tmRNA". It matches the Rfam family "transfer-messenger RNA". Rfam says of the family: Bacterial tmRNA, also known as 10Sa RNA or SsrA, is named for its dual tRNA and mRNA-like properties. Its role is to liberate the mRNA from a stalled ribosome. To accomplish this part of the tmRNA is used as a reading frame that ends in a translation stop signal. The record is from RNAcentral. Lineage: Bacteria; Pseudomonadati; Bacteroidota; Flavobacteriia; Flavobacteriales. RNAcentral also lists the same sequence under 1 other name.